GAUGAACGCUGGCGGCGUGCCUAAUACAUGCAAGUCGAGCGAACAGAUGAGGAGCUUGCUCCUCUGACGUUAGCGGCGGACGGGUGAGUAACACGUGGAUAACCUACCUAUAAGACUGGGAUAACUUCGGGAAACCGGAGCUAAUACCGGAUAAUAUAUUGAACCGCAUGGUUCAAUAGUGAAAUACGGUUUUGCUGUCACUUAUAUAUGGAUCCGCGCCGCAUUAGCUAGUUGGUAAGGUAACGGCUUACCAAGGCAACGAUGCGUAGCCGACCUGAGAGGGUGAUCGGCCACAGUGGAACUGAGACACGGUCCAGACUCCUACGGGAGGCAGCAGUAGGGAAUCUUCCGCAAUGGGCGAAAGCCUGACGGAGCAACGCCGCGUGAGUGAUGAAGGUCUUCGGAUCGUAAAACUCUGUUAUUAGGGAAGAACAAAUGUGUAAGUAACUAUGCACGUCUUGACGGUACCUAAUCAGAAAGCCACGGCUAACUACGUG
Molecule: ribosomal RNA, 497 nt
Filed under: uncultured bacterium
Lineage: Bacteria
Description: partial 16S ribosomal RNA
Rfam family: Bacterial small subunit ribosomal RNA
Source: RNAcentral